This 71-nucleotide transfer RNA is filed under the name Loxodonta africana (African savanna elephant). It matches the Rfam family "tRNA". From Rfam's summary of the family: Transfer RNA (tRNA) molecules are approximately 80 nucleotides in length. Their secondary structure includes four short double-helical elements and three loops (D, anti-codon, and T loops). The record is from Rfam by way of RNAcentral. Lineage: Eukaryota; Metazoa; Chordata; Mammalia; Proboscidea; Elephantidae.
GCAUUUGUAGUUCAGUGGUAGAAAUCUCAUCUUGCAUGCGGGAGACCUGAGUUUGAUUCCCAGCCAAUGCA